CCUACGGGCGGCAGCAGUGAGGAAUAUUGGUCAAUGGGCGGAAGCCUGAACCAGCCAAGUCGCGUGAGGGAUUAAGGCCCUGCGGGUCGUAAACCUCUUUUGCCGGGGAGCAGUGGUCCGGACGCGUCCGGACCGGGAGAGUACCCGGAGAAAAAGCAUCGGCUAACUCCGUGCCAGCAGCCGCGGUAAUACGGAGGAUGCGAGCGUUAUCCGGAUUUAUUGGGUUUAAAGGGUGCGCAGGCGGUCUGUUAAGUCAGCGGUCAAAGCCCGGGGCUCAACCCCGGCCCGCCGUUGAAACUGGCAGUCGCGAGUUGGAGAGAAGUAUGCGGAAUGCGCGGUGUAGCGGUGAAAUGCAUAGAUAUCGCGCAGAACUCCGAUUGCGAAGGCAGCAUGCCGGCUCCACACUGACGCUGAGGCACGAAAGCGUGGGUAUCGAACAGGAUUAGAUACCCCUGUAGUC
RNAcentral lists this ribosomal RNA (460 nucleotides) under uncultured bacterium. Its description in RNAcentral is "partial 16S ribosomal RNA". It matches the Rfam family "Bacterial small subunit ribosomal RNA", at positions 338 to 795 of the family's 1533-position model. The record is from RNAcentral.